This 56-nucleotide transfer RNA is filed under the name Pratylenchus vulnus (walnut meadow nematode). RNAcentral describes it as "tRNA-Trp". The record is from RNAcentral. Lineage: Eukaryota; Metazoa; Nematoda; Chromadorea; Rhabditida; Pratylenchidae.
AGUCCUAUAUUAUAGUUUUAGUAUUUUUGUCUUCAGAACAAAAGGUAUUAGGCUUG